ACUUUGCACGCCGCCCAGGGCUACACCACUCACCGAAAAUUGGGAGGCAGGUGCUGGAGAAUCUGGUAAAAGCACCAUUGUGAAGCAGAUGAGGAUCCUGCAUGUUAAUGGGUUUAAUGGAGACAGUGAGAAGGCAACCAAAGUGCAGGACAUCAAAAACAACCUGAAAGAGGCGAUUGAAACCAUUGUGGCCGCCAUGAGCAACCUGGUGCCCCCCGUGGAGCUGGCCAACCCCGAGAACCAGUUCAGAGUGGACUACAUUCUGAGUGUGAUGAACGUGCCUGACUUUGACUUCCCUCCCGAAUUCUAUGAGCACGCCAAGGCUCUGUGGGAGGAUGAAGGAGUGCGUGCCUGCUACGAACGCUCCAACGAGUACCAGCUGAUUGACUGUGCCCAGUACUUCCUGGACAAGAUCGAUGUGAUCAAGCAGGCUGACUAUGUGCCGAGCGAUCAGGACCUGCUUCGCUGCCGCGUCCUGACUUCUGGAAUCUUUGAGACCAAGUUCCAGGUGGACAAAGUCAACUUCCACAUGUUUGACGUGGGUGGCCAGCGCGACGAACGCCGCAAGUGGAUCCAGUGCUUC
This 583-nucleotide small RNA is filed under the name Pongo abelii (Sumatran orangutan). RNAcentral's name for it is "processed transcript". The record is from RNAcentral. Lineage: Eukaryota; Metazoa; Chordata; Mammalia; Primates; Hominidae.